GAUGAACGCUGGCGGCGUGCCUAAUACAUGCAAGUCGAGCGAACGGACGAGAAGCUUGCUUCUCUGAUGUUAGCGGCGGACGGGUGAGUAACACGUGGAUAACCUACCUAUAAGACUGGGAUAACUUCGGGAAACCGGAGCUAAUACCGGAUAAUAUUUUGAACCGCAUGGUUCAAAAGUGAAAGGCGGUCUUGCUGUCACUUAUAGAUGGAUCCGCGCUGCAUUAGCUAGUUGGUAAGGUAACGGCUUACCAAGGCAACGAUGCAUAGCCGACCUGAGAGGGUGAUCGGCCACACUGGAACUGAGACACGGUCCAGACUCCUACGGGAGGCAGCAGUAGGGAAUCUUCCGCAAUGGGCGAAAGCCUGACGGAGCAACGCCGCGUGAGUGAUGAAGGUCUUCGGAUCGUAAAACUCUGUUAUUAGGGAAGAACAUAUGUGUAAGUAACUGUGCACAUCUUGACGGUACCUAAUCAGAAAGCCACGGCUUACUACGUG
This 497-nucleotide ribosomal RNA is filed under the name uncultured bacterium. RNAcentral's name for it is "partial 16S ribosomal RNA". It matches the Rfam family "Bacterial small subunit ribosomal RNA", at positions 28 to 507 of the family's 1533-position model. The record is from RNAcentral.